UCCUACGGGAGGCAGCAGUGGGGAAUAUUGGACAAUGGGCGAAAGCCUGAUCCAGCCAUGCCGCGUGUGUGAAGAAGGUCUUCGGAUUGUAAAGCACUUUAAGUUGGGAGGAAGGGCAGUAAAUUAAUACUUUGCUGUUUUGACGUUACCGACAGAAUAAGCACCGGCUAACUCCGUGCCAGCAGCCGCGGUAAUACAA
This 199-nucleotide ribosomal RNA is filed under the name uncultured bacterium. RNAcentral's name for it is "partial 16S ribosomal RNA". It matches the Rfam family "Bacterial small subunit ribosomal RNA", at positions 337 to 528 of the family's 1533-position model. The record is from RNAcentral.